GGUCGGCGAACAAACCCAUCCAUCUCACUACGCCGGCGUUGGUGGCCUCUGCACCUUCGCCGGUGGCUCCCCUCUAACCCUUUCCUCUUUUCUAUUUGCUCCCCCCUCAACCCUUUGUCCUGUAGCCAUUUUGUCAAACCCUAGAACGCCGUCGGAGUUUAACGCCUUCGAUUUGGAGAUCCAGUGUCAGAUCGGAAGGAUGGUGGUCGUCUCCGGUGUCUAGACGUCGUUGUGGUGUCAAGGGAAGAGGUGGAGUCGGUUUUUCGAGUGGCUGGUCUGGCGGACAAUUUUCAGAUCUGUUUCCGUUCCGCCGGUAGAUGGUCGUCGAAAUGAGUCUCCUGUCACGGUUCUGGACUCUGGUUCUGCGGCGGUGUGAGGGAAGUCGUUGUCUUUGUUCUUCCGUGGCCUUGGUGCCUCGGCUUCGGAGUCAUUUUCAACUCUUCUCAAGACGAGUCUCGAUGGCUUCGGCCUUCAGGACGCACAGCGAUGGUGGGUCUCUCAAGCUUGUCUUGUCGUAGUGGCGGUUGUAUCAAGCCCGUAUUUUGCAUCUCUGGUCGGUAAUUAGCGUGUUGAUAGGACUCUUGUAUCUUUGUGUUUGUGAGUCUUGAUCGGUAUGGACUAAGGUAGUAAGUGUUUUGAUAGUUGUGACUUAGCAGUCUCUCUGUGAGGAGUAAUGUUUCCAUUGGUUGCUUGCCGUUUCGUUCUUCUCCUGUGAGUGUUUAUGGAGAGGUUCGGUUGGCAAGGCUUCAUCUUCUUCGUGUUUGGGUGGACUUCUUUCUUUGAUCGUAGAAUGUUUAUGUAUCCAAGGUGCGUGGACCGAGCAGCGUGUUCCCCUUGUCGAGUUUUGAAGUCUUUGGGUUUUGAUCUUAUCGUUUGGCGGGCGAGGCAGCACCGAUGAGUGUGGUUUGUGUGCAGAAGUGGAAGGUACCGGGUGGCGGGCUAUGGGCAGCAGCGGUAACCCCGAUCAUUGGCAUUUUCUCCUUUCUAAAGACUGCUAGGUGUUAUGAUGCGGCUCUUGCGUAGAUGUUAAAUGUUUCUGUUUCUACCGUGGAUCUAGUCCUAUGUUUUAUGUUUUCUCGUAUGUCACCCUUGUGUGGGUUUGAGUCACCCCAGUGUGGGUUCUAGUUGCUGCUUCCUAUGGACUCUUGGUUCUGGGGCUAUUUCGUUUGGUCGCCAACUUUUGUAUGAAUAUUGAUAUUUUG
RNAcentral lists this long non-coding RNA (1202 nucleotides) under Brassica napus (rape). Its description in RNAcentral is "long non-coding RNA (BNAP_LNC015806)". Lineage: Eukaryota; Viridiplantae; Streptophyta; Magnoliopsida; Brassicales; Brassicaceae. The record is from RNAcentral.